AUUGAACGCUGGCGGCAUGCCUUACACAUGCAAGUCGAACGGCAGCACGGGUGCUUGCACCUGGUGGCGAGUGGCGAACGGGUGAGUAAUACAUCGGAACAUGUCCUGUAGUGGGGGAUAGCCCGGCGAAAGCCGGAUUAAUACCGCAUACGAUCUACGGAUGAAAGCGGGGGACCUUCGGGCCUCGCGCUAUAGGGUUGGCCGAUGGCUGAUUAGCUAGUUGGUGGGGUAAAGGCCUACCAAGGCGACGAUCAGUAGGUGGUCUGAGAGGACGACCAGCCACACUGGGACUGAGACACGGCCCAGACUCCUACGGGAGGCAGCAGUGGGGAAUUUUGGACAAUGGGCGAAAGCCUGAUCCAGCAAUGCCGCGUGUGUGAAGAAGGCCUUCGGGUUGUAAAGCACUUUUGUCCGGAAAGAAAUCCUUGGCCCUAAUACGGUCGGGGGAUGACGGUACCGGAAGAAUAAGCACCGGCUAACUACGUG
RNAcentral lists this ribosomal RNA (486 nucleotides) under uncultured bacterium. RNAcentral's name for it is "partial 16S ribosomal RNA". It matches the Rfam family "Bacterial small subunit ribosomal RNA", at positions 30 to 507 of the family's 1533-position model. The record is from RNAcentral.